RNAcentral lists this long non-coding RNA (2227 nucleotides) under Sus scrofa (pig). Its description in RNAcentral is "lncRNA (ENSSSCG00070000864.1)". The record is from RNAcentral. Lineage: Eukaryota; Metazoa; Chordata; Mammalia; Artiodactyla; Suidae.
GGUUCUAUGGCAGCCCUUAGACUAAGUCGUAAAUCAUGAAUGGCUAGACAGCGUGGAUCACUAUGAAAUCACUUGUCUCCAUGUUCUGUUCUAGUUCCAGCCCUUAGCUGGGCUUUCUGAACCUACGGAUUACAUGAGCGCAAACCCAGGUAGAUCACCACUGGACCUUCGAAAUGAGGGAAAAAUUGAAACAGAAGACAAAAACAGCGAUGCGAGUCCCUCGUGAAAUUAACCAGGAUCCACACAUCAUGAAUAUAGAUGACCAUUGGGCGUCAUCUGCUACACAAACUACAGGGUCGUGGUCACUCCAUCCUAGACGACUGCUUUCUGAAGGCAUUUUCAACUCGCUAAUAAUGCUCAUUCUCCAUCAGCGUGCUCCGUCUGUCUGGGGGAAGGAUUUUGUUGACUGCAAUUUGAAACUUCCGUCGAAUUUAAGGAUGAUAGACAGACAUACAGCAUAAAUGUAUCGAAGACAAAAACAUAUCUUCUGAAUGCAGCCGUCAGCGAGCCAUUGAAUGUCCUGUAGCAAAGGUAACGGGUCACUAUUUACCGUGAAGACUGGGACGAGAACUCGAGGCAUCUGAGCGGUGCUGUGCCAAUUGUCUAGGGGAGAGGACGCGUUUCCUUUCCCACUCAAAGAGUGAGCUUUGUUUGUUUGCACAUGUUUUAGAUCAAUAACUGGUAAUAGUAAAGGCAGGACAAAAGCGCUAAUAACCAUGAGCCAUCUGCAGCGCGAAUCGACAUUUCCCAAGUUAAACACUACAGUCUUGUGAAUGAAUACAGGGUAUAUGAUUUAUUUUAAUUGGAAAACAAAUGCCUUGAUCUAGCUACGCCAAAAGGGGGCACCAGGGUAUUAAAGAAGUUAUCAUGUUUUCGGAGGCUAUAGCUGAAAUUAAGUGAAGUUUGGAGAGAUUUUUAGUAUAAUUAAUAUGUACACGAUUUUAAUAACGUGCUAUUCUAAAAAGUCCGUUAGGUGGUUUCAGGAUUUUCGGUAAGACAGUUUUAACAUCUGAGUGGAAUUUUCUAUUGCUCUGGGGUGAUUUCUUGGCGGUUUGAGGGUAUACAUGCAAACCAGGAACGUAUUUUAUUUGAUGAAAAACAGUAUAAAGAAAACCACAUAUAUAGCUCCUUAUGAUUCUAUCGAUAUUAAUGCUCAUGGUGUUUUUCACUGAAAUUUGCUGUAUUCUGUCUUUACAACAGAAGUGUGUCUCCUCUUUGUUGUCUAAGACACUUAGUAAAUAUGAGAGUAUUUGUUUUGAUGCACGUGUGUCUAGGUGGAAAAUAGGCAGCCUUCUGUAUUGGCUUUUCUGAGAGAAGGAUGCAGAAAGUGGGGACUUGGGGGGUAUGGCAAAUAGUAGCUAAUUUAGAGAUUGAGUACCAUAGCUUCCAGAAUCCAAAAGGAAUACAUCAAGCGACUAGGAAGCGUUUUCUGGAGAGAUUUUCAAAGUAUACAUUUUGGUUAAUCCUGUGUCAUUUUCGUGAUUCCAGUAAAGCGGAUUUAGUGGAGGAAAAGAGGGAGAGACAAAACUAUUCUUAAUGAGGUUGUAAAUACAUGCAACACAACUAGAUGUGCCUCUUCUGCUUUAAUGUCACUUAAAGAGUAAACACCAAUUCGAUUUCUAAUUUUGUUAGGGAUUGAGUACGCGCGCUAUUUCUGUAUUUCUGUUGUUUUCCUCCUCACCCUGAUCCGGUCUCCGCUUCCCUCCCCCACGUGAAAUAGAGACCUUUUAUAUGUAAUCAAAUCUGAACUGGUUGGUUAGCUAAUAAUUCCUCUUAAAAAUGGAAAUCAGUGGCUGCACGAUCCUGUUUUCUCUAUAUGUCUCUACCGCUUCUAAAGAUGGCUGCAAUCUAAACAGAAUGGGCUGUCUUUUCAUAGACAGUUUCUUCUUUUUAUUUUUAGCUGUCCAGUCAUAGCUUCUUAAAAAAAGAGAAAAUGAUACAUUUAGUUGAAAUCAUGUUUUAUAGUUUAAUUUUUACCCAGCCUUUGGUCUUGCUCAUUUUAUGCUUUGUGAUAAUUUAUGGAAUCAUAUAUCAGGCAAUGCAAGGCGAUUUACAGGCUGCUAUCACAUCUCCAUAACUUUGAUGAAAUAUGUGACUAAUUAGUAUAUUGUUUAACUGGGAGAAUUAGAUUAAAACAACAAAUGUCUUUCAGGUUUAUUUGAAAACAUAUGGAUUUUAUUCAACUGAAGUAAAUAUUCAGGUGCAAUAAAUUGUUAUGUGUAGUGCA